This 834-nucleotide long non-coding RNA is filed under the name Monodelphis domestica (gray short-tailed opossum). Its description in RNAcentral is "lncRNA (ENSMODG00000030155.2)". Lineage: Eukaryota; Metazoa; Chordata; Mammalia; Didelphimorphia; Didelphidae. The record is from RNAcentral.
CAAGGAUCCCUUACAUGAAAUACUCUUAGGAAUUGUGCACUGUCACUGAGUUUCCCUUGAGUAAAAAUACAGACUCAAAGCCAAGCUCACCCCAGGCAGCUUUCUGCUGCCAAUCUCACCAUUCUGAGCUUUCCAUGUGCAGAUGCAACCACUCGAGACUGCAAAGGACUUACUGGAGCCUCACCACAAUUCUGCAAAGAAGGCAAUAGAGACUGCAAGGCAAUAGUAAAAAGUAAAAGCAAAGACAACCAGCUUCCAGUCUCAGAAGGCAAUCUGGUUCUGCAGUUUCCCAAACUACAUGGAAUUCUUCCUAAAAGGAUUAAGAUCCAGCAUUGACUGGAAGUCAUAGCAUCACUUUCAGGUGAGAACCCAAACCAACUUGACUGGGUAACCACAAACUGUUCUGAAUGCAAAGGGAUGGGAGUACUUCACCCUUUCCCUUUUCUUAUAGGAUUAAUCCCUCUGCCCUGGACCCACACUCAGAAUGAGUUUAGGUCAUUGAGUAACUCCAAAGGAGCAAAAAGAAAAAAAGAAAAAGAAAAUCAAGCUUCUUACUUCAGGAAAGCUGAGUACCUACCACAAUUCUAGCAUCUGUGAGACCCUCUAGAUGAGGAAUACAAACCUGAGGUCACCCAGAAAUCAUCCUCUUGUCCUCUGCUCUUCCCCUAACCAGGAGAAACUUCUGGCCCCAGACUCAGGUCUCUUCUUCUCCUUAUACUCAAGCCAAGACACUGUUCUUCCCUCCUGCAGCUAUUGUUCACAAUUAAGAAGAUACAUAAAUAAAAAGCUGUUAAAAGAGGUCAGACUUUUAAAGUAUUCCUUAAAAUAGAAAAA